GAAGCCGGUGGAGUAACCAUUUGGAACUAGCCGUCGAAGGUGGGACAAAUGAUUGGGGUGAAGUCGUAACAAGGUAGCCGUAUCGGAAGGUGCGGCUGGAUCACCUCCUUU
RNAcentral lists this ribosomal RNA (111 nucleotides) under Staphylococcus epidermidis. RNAcentral's name for it is "partial 16S ribosomal RNA". It matches the Rfam family "Bacterial small subunit ribosomal RNA", at positions 1423 to 1533 of the family's 1533-position model. Lineage: Bacteria; Bacillati; Bacillota; Bacilli; Caryophanales; Staphylococcaceae. The record is from RNAcentral.